Molecule: long non-coding RNA, 1782 nt
Organism: Equus asinus (donkey)
Lineage: Eukaryota; Metazoa; Chordata; Mammalia; Perissodactyla; Equidae
Source: Ensembl
GUGCACCAGGUGGGAGAGGAGAACAAGACUUCACCGCAUUGGGUUUCAUUCUGCGGCGCGCUUUUGUGAUGCUGCUGAGAAAAGAAAGGAGGAAGGGUAAGGGAGAAAGGCGGAGGGGCUGGGCGGCCAGGGGCGGCCGCGCCGGCGUCUCCCUCGGCUCUGCCCUGCCAGACCCGCUCCCAGAUUCCCGGCCUGCCGGCCGCUCCCAGCCCGGGCUUCCCCGCCGCCUCCUUGCCCAGGCGCCUUCCCGGGGAACCCCGCCGGCUGCCGCGCGCCGAGCCGGGGAAUCCCGGCAAACUCCCUCCCGCUCCCGGGGGUCCAAGCCCCUGCCUGGGCGGGCACCUGCACCGCAGCGCGGACUCGCACCGACACACGGAUCCCGGCAGGGAGCUCUGGGAGCCGGCGUGGGAUCCCAGGGACACCCCCCUGCGCGCACACAUACACACAGCCCGCGGGAGGACAGGACCGCCGGGGACAGCUCGCGGCGCUGCCGGGGCGCACGAGCCGCAGCUACUCACUCGCGAGUCUGUCGACAGACGCGCCUGGAGAGGAGCGGCAGAGGGCGCAGGCGCGCGGCCCCCGCCCGGCCCAGCCCGGUCCACAGGCAGCUAGCCAUCCCGCUGCCCUUCACCUGAGCGGCGGCGGAAGGCGAGGAGCCACGAGGGAGCAGGUCUCCAAAACAGUGAGCUGCUAAAGCAGAGAGGCUGCUCUGAAUUUAAAAAGUUAUUUCUGUUCGUUUAUUCCUUGCCAUGGGCACCCACAGUGUCUCAGGAACCAUAGUAGGUUCUGGGGACUAAAGAUGCGUCGGACAGGAUCCUUGGACUGAAGAAACUGCCGUCUUGUGAAAGAAACACCCCUGUAAGUAGCCUAAAACAACGCAGUACAUUCUAUGCAGGGUGCCACUGGAGAACCUAAUAUCCGUGAACCUGUUAUAUCUUCACCUCCAGGCAGAAGGAAAGGCAUGUGCAAGAGCACAGGGACAUGGUGCUGCCAUUAACAGGUAGAUGAGUUGCAGGGAGAUUGCAGGGAUGGGGCAGAGGACCGGACUGCAAGAGCGUCAGAGUAGGAAACGUCAGCAAGGGCUCCAUAGGUUGUGUGCUAUGAGCACUGAAGGACAGUGACAUUCUGACUUGCUCAUCAGAAAGCUGGUUCUGCAAUGGUGGGUGAGAGGAGGCCACACUGUGAGAGUGGAGACAAGUGAGCCGGGCAGUGUCUGAGCAAAAUGUGAUGAGGCAGUGUGAGGGGGCAUGGAGAGGCAGGAGCUGAUGGCAAACACAUUGAGAAGGUAGAAGUGGCCAGACUUGGAAGCUGAUGUAAUCUGGAGGGUGAGAAAAUGGACCGAUACAGGAUGUCUCUCAAGUUUCACACCUGCCCGGGUGGAUGAUGGCCCAUAAAAACACAAGAGGGGAAACAUGCUCUUGGGGGGAAGAUGUUCUCAUUUUAGAUGCAUUCACUUUGAAAUGCCUUUAGGACAUCCAGGCAUACGUGUCCAUAAGUCAUUGGAUAGAGGUCACACAGGAAGUUUGAACUAGGUAUAUGGAUUAGGAGUCAUCAGCCCAAAGGUGGCCUGGGAUGAUAAGGAAGAUCACACAAACUGAGGAGAGAAAGACUAAGGACAGGGCUCUAGAGACACCACAACCUAAGAAAAGGAGAGGGAAAAAGCUAAGGAGGGAGACUAGAAGCAAUGGUCAAAGAAGUGUGCAAAGAAUCAGAAGAGAGUGAAGGUCACAGGAGCCAAAGGAGCAGAAAACUUUACAAAGGGAGUGGUCAGAGACCUAAAAG